This 1506-nucleotide ribosomal RNA is filed under the name uncultured Pantoea sp. Its description in RNAcentral is "16S ribosomal RNA". It matches the Rfam family "Bacterial small subunit ribosomal RNA". Lineage: Bacteria; Pseudomonadati; Pseudomonadota; Gammaproteobacteria; Enterobacterales; Erwiniaceae. The record is from RNAcentral.
UUAGAGUUUGAUCCUGGCUCAGAACGAACGCUGGCGGCAGGCCUAACACAUGCAAGUCGAACGGUAGCACAGAGAGCUUGCUCUCGGGUGACGAGUGGCGGACGGGUGAGUAAUGUCUGGGAAACUGCCUGAUGGAGGGGGAUAACUACUGGAAACGGUAGCUAAUACCGCAUAACGUCGCAAGACCAAAGAGGGGGACCUUCGGGCCUCUUGCCAUCAGAUGUGCCCAGAUGGGAUUAGCUAGUAGGUGGGGUAAUGGCUCACCUAGGCGACGAUCCCUAGCUGGUCUGAGAGGAUGACCAGCCACACUGGAACUGAGACACGGUCCAGACUCCUACGGGAGGCAGCAGUGGGGAAUAUUGCACAAUGGGCGCAAGCCUGAUGCAGCCAUGCCGCGUGUAUGAAGAAGGCCUUCGGGUUGUAAAGUACUUUCAGCGGGGAGGAAGGUGUUGCGGUUAAUAACCGCAGCAAUUGACGUUACCCGCAGAAGAAGCACCGGCUAACUCCGUGCCAGCAGCCGCGGUAAUACGGAGGGUGCAAGCGUUAAUCGGAAUUACUGGGCGUAAAGCGCACGCAGGCGGUCUGUCAAGUCGGAUGUGAAAUCCCCGGGCUCAACCUGGGAACUGCAUUCGAAACUGGCAGGCUAGAGUCUUGUAGAGGGGGGUAGAAUUCCAGGUGUAGCGGUGAAAUGCGUAGAGAUCUGGAGGAAUACCGGUGGCGAAGGCGGCCCCCUGGACAAAGACUGACGCUCAGGUGCGAAAGCGUGGGGAGCAAACAGGAUUAGAUACCCUGGUAGUCCACGCCGUAAACGAUGUCGACUUGGAGGUUGUUCCCUUGAGGAGUGGCUUCCGGAGCUAACGCGUUAAGUCGACCGCCUGGGGAGUACGGCCGCAAGGUUAAAACUCAAAUGAAUUGACGGGGGCCCGCACAAGCGGUGGAGCAUGUGGUUUAAUUCGAUGCAACGCGAAGAACCUUACCUACUCUUGACAUCCAGAGAACUUAGCAGAGAUGCUUUGGUGCCUUCGGGAACUCUGAGACAGGUGCUGCAUGGCUGUCGUCAGCUCGUGUUGUGAAAUGUUGGGUUAAGUCCCGCAACGAGCGCAACCCUUAUCCUUUGUUGCCAGCGGUCCGGCCGGGAACUCAAAGGAGACUGCCAGUGAUAAACUGGAGGAAGGUGGGGAUGACGUUAAGUCAUCAUGGCCCUUACGAGUAGGGCUACACACGUGCUACAAUGGCGCAUACAAAGAGAAGCGACCUCGCGAGAGCAAGCGGACCUCAUAAAGUGCGUCGUAGUCCGGAUUGGAGUCUGCAACUCGACUCCAUGAAGUCGGAAUCGCUAGUAAUCGUAGAUCAGAAUGCUACGGUGAAUACGUUCCCGGGCCUUGUACACACCGCCCGUCACACCAUGGGAGUGGGUUGCAAAAGAAGUAGGUAGCUUAACCUUCGGGAGGGCGCUUACCACUUUGUGAUUCAUGACUGGGGUGAAGUCGUAACAAGGUAGCCGUA